This 494-nucleotide ribosomal RNA is filed under the name uncultured bacterium. RNAcentral describes it as "partial 16S ribosomal RNA". It matches the Rfam family "Bacterial small subunit ribosomal RNA", at positions 28 to 523 of the family's 1533-position model. The record is from RNAcentral.
GAUGAACGCUGGCGGCGCGCUUAACACAUGCAAGUCGAACGGGAAACCUAUUAUUGAAACUUCGGUCGAUUUAAUUUGUUUCUAGUGGCGGACGGGUGGGUAACGCGUGGGUAACCUGCCCUAUACAGGGGGAUAACAACCAGAAAUGGUUGCUAAUACCGCAUAAGCGCACGGGACCGCAUGGUCCAGUGUGAAAAACUCCGGUGGUAUAGGAUGGACCCGCGUUGGAUUAGCUAGUUGGUGGGGUAACGGCCCACCAAGGCAACGAUCCAUAGCCGGCCUGAGAGGGUGAACGGCCACAUUGGGACUGAGACACGGCCCAGACUCCUACGGGAGGCAGCAGUGGGGAAUAUUGCACAAUGGGGGAAACCCUGAUGCAGCGACGCCGCGUGAAGGAAGAAGUAUCUCGGUAUGUAAACUUCUAUCAGCAGGGAAGAUAGUGACGGUACCUGACUAAGAAGCCCCGGCUAACUACGUGCCAGCCGCCGCCGUAA